This 63-nucleotide transfer RNA is filed under the name Apriona swainsoni. RNAcentral describes it as "tRNA-His". Lineage: Eukaryota; Metazoa; Arthropoda; Insecta; Coleoptera; Cerambycidae. The record is from RNAcentral. RNAcentral also lists the same sequence under 1 other name.
AUUCAAAUAGUUUAAGAAAAAUAUUGAUUUGUGGAGUCAGAGAUAUAGUGUUUAUUUUGAAUA